UACGUAGGGUGCGAGCGUUGUCCGGAAUUACUGGGCGUAAAGAGCUCGUAGGUGGUUUGUCGCGUUGUUCGUGAAAUCUCACGGCUUAACUGUGAGCGUGCGGGCGAUACGGGCAGACUGGAGUACUGCAGGGGAGACUGGAAUUCCUGGUGUAGCGGUGGAAUGCGCAGAUAUCAGGAGGAACACCGGUGGCGAAGGCGGGUCUCUGGGACGGUACUGACGCUGAGACGCGAAAGCGUGGGGAGCGAACAGG
This 253-nucleotide ribosomal RNA is filed under the name uncultured bacterium. Its description in RNAcentral is "partial 16S ribosomal RNA". It matches the Rfam family "Bacterial small subunit ribosomal RNA", at positions 524 to 776 of the family's 1533-position model. The record is from RNAcentral.